Manis pentadactyla (Chinese pangolin) is the source of this 1467-nucleotide long non-coding RNA. RefSeq lists it as uncharacterized. The transcript is spliced from 4 exons. The record is from RefSeq and is a predicted model, not a curated record. Lineage: Eukaryota; Metazoa; Chordata; Mammalia; Pholidota; Manidae.
AUAACUAGAUUAAGCAAUGAGUCUAACAGCAAAUCACCAGAAUUUCAAAAUAGUGAUAGAGGUGAUAAGUCAAGACAAAGGCAGUGCCUGUAAGUUAAAUGGAAACAUCUGUGAAUUCUAUUCACAAAGUCAUAGGCGUUGCUGAUCCCACUCCAGUCUGUUGCCCAUGUUCAUAAUGGGAGGGAGUGCUCCAUCUCAGCUGUGUUUGCAAAACCAAAGAUGUAAACUUUCCCCCCUCAAGUUCAUGAAACCCUGAAUUCUUUCCAAGGAUGCUUGGGAUGUACAAAUCCCCCCACUAAAAGGCUUAUUUUUCUCAUGUGGAAUAUGUUCUGGAAGUUGCAGUCCAGGGCUUGUGUAUCUGCUCAAGGAAGCAUCAAGGGCUCAGACUUCUGCUUCUUGCUCUGAUGUCCUGAACAUGUGACUUUGCCCCUAAGGUGCAAAGUGGCCGCAGCAUCUCCAGGCACUGCAUCUGCAUUUCAGUUAAGAAGAAGAGGGAAGAGGAAGAGAAAAAAGACUGGGACACUGAGGCUCAGUGGGCGUAAAUGACAGACUCAGUAGCAUACGGUGCGUUUGAGCCCUGGUCUGUCUCAUUCCCACGCCCCUGACUCAAGCAGCCUGAGGCCCGGGCCGGUCUGGCCCUCCCAGCCGGGCUGCCGCAGAGGAUGCAGACGAGCCCUCUCCAGACGGGCCUCCGACUCGGAAGACCGUGGGCUGCCGGCGGGUCGGGAGACGUCAGAAACCAGGGAAAGAGCGUGGGAAAGGCGCGCUGUUGGGAGUUCACGGGCUCCGGGGCGCUGCGGCCAGCCUCUGCCGCGCUUCCACCCCGGUGCUGGGCCGCCGCCCGCCGCCCGGGCCCCGCCGCUCCGCCCUCUGCGAAGACACGGAAGCGCCCUGGGCCGCAGGGCACGGAGGAAGCACGAGCGGCCGCAACCCGUGGCGGGCGGGUCCGGAGCGGCCCCGAGCCCACGUGCGCGGAGCCAGGUGCGCGGCGGCCCCGCCUCCGGGCCGCGCGCCCGACAGUCCCGCCCCGCCCCGCGGGGUAAGGCAACGCCGCCCGGCCGCCGCCCGGGCCGAGCUGCCCACUAUGACAAAGAACAGCAUGUGGGCCGGCGCUGGCUGCAGACUGCCCUGAAUCCUGUCCCGCCUGCCUGAGAGGUGAAAGGAAGACACAUCAGGAUCAGAGUGAAGAUGUGACAUGAGUGACGCUCUGCUCACACGCACACCCGGGAAACAGCAUCUGCUCGCCGAGAGCCUGUGCUUUGCCAGGCAGAGCUGUGGUCUGCAUUUCACGAGCACGUGGAUUCCACACAUCUCAGGAAACUCAAGAACAAUCGGGACCUCAGAUACCAGCUGGUCUUUGAGAACAUGAGGGGGCUCAGCUCCAGUUUCGGAUCUGGGUGGUCUCGAGUCCUUCUCUGCCCACACUUACUGCUCCCCAACACCCAUUAUAAUCACUGAGGCACUGAG